Molecule: ribosomal RNA, 548 nt
Filed under: uncultured eukaryote
Lineage: Eukaryota
Description: SSU rRNA
Rfam family: Eukaryotic small subunit ribosomal RNA
Source: RNAcentral
UGUAGUCAUAUGCUUGUCUCAAAGAUUAAGCCAUGCAUGUCUAAGUAUAAGCAAUUACAAAGCGAAACUGCGAAUGGCUCAUUAUAUAAGUUAUCGUUUAUUUGAUAGUACCUUACUACAUGGAUAACCGUGGUAAUUCUAGAGCUAAUACAUGCUGAAAAUCCCGACUUCGGAAGGGAUGUAUUUAUUAGAUACAAAACCAAUGCCCUUCGGGGCUCUCUUGGUGAUUCAUGAUAACUUCUCGAAUCGCACGGCCCCGCGCCGGCGAUGGUUCAUUCAAAUCUCUUCCCUAUCAACUUUCGAUGCUACGGUAUUGUCCUAGCAUGGUUGCAACGGGUGACGGAGGGUUAGGGCUCGACCCCGGAGAAGGAGCCUGAGAAACGGCUACUACAUCCAAGGAAGGCAGCAGGCGCGCAAAUUACCCAAUCCCGACUCGGGGAGGUAGUGACAAUAAAUACUGAUACAGGGCUCUUUUGGGUCCUGUAAUUGGAAUGAGUACAAUUCAAAUCCCUUAACGAGGAACAAUUGGAGGGCAAGUCUGGUAAUCG